This 459-nucleotide ribosomal RNA is filed under the name uncultured bacterium. RNAcentral describes it as "partial 16S ribosomal RNA". It matches the Rfam family "Bacterial small subunit ribosomal RNA", at positions 338 to 795 of the family's 1533-position model. The record is from RNAcentral.
CCUACGGGAGGCAGCAGUGAGGAAUAUUGGUCAAUGGCCGGAAGGCUGAACCAGCCAAGCCGCGUGAAGGACGAAGGUGCCAAGCAUUGUACACUUCUUUUGUCAAGGGAAAAAAUCAGGCUCGAGAGCCUGACCGAGGGUCCUUGAAGAAAAAGCAUCGGCUAACUCCGUGCCAGCAGCCGCGGUAAUACGGGGGAUGCGCACGUUAUCCGGUUUUAUGGGGUUUAAAGGGUGCGUAGGGGGACUGUUAAGUCAGCGGUAAAAGCCCGGGGCUCAACCCCGGCGAGCCGUUGAAACUGGCUGGCUGGAGAUGUCGAGAGGUAUGCGGAAUGCGGAGUGUAGCGGUGAAAUGCUUAGAUAUUGCGCAGAACUCCUAUUGCGAAGGCAGCAUACCGGCGGCGAUCUGACGCUGAGGCACGAAAGCGUGGGUAUCGAACAGGAUUAGAUACCCGAGUAGUC